GCUAGUCUUUUAUUUCCAUGUACUAAUUUGAGUUCACUGCAUACAAAGCUUGACCAUGAAGACAUGCAGGUAAGACAAAACAACAACAAAAAGAUGUCAAUGAUGAUAAGUGAUGUGAUUUUCCCAGAAAAGUUAAAAGUUUUAUUUUUCUUCAGGUAAACUCUCCUAUUUUACAGGAAAAUAAAUAGCAUAAUAGUAAUGCUCUAAAAUGGACCAAUUUCACCUUCCAGUCAUUAUGCUGACAUUUCAAUAAUACAGGGUAAGUUCAUAGCUACAAAGCAAGCCAACAUGAGUGCUCAUGUAUUCUGAGAUGUCUAAUCCAGAGUUCAUACUUCUGGGGAGUUUGCUACCUACCAUAUACUUUCUCAGCUUUUUAAUCUAUAGGCCAUUUCCAAUUAUUUGAUUCUAUUCUAUUAAGAGGUUUUAUAAUGAAAUGGGAAUUAUGUGCCAACAUUCCUUAUUGGUAUUAUCAUUUUAAAAAAUAAGACAUUCACCAAAUUUUAGGAAGCACUUAAAUUUGGUUAAAUUUUUAACUAUGUCACUUUAGUUCUUCACAUCCCAUUUGUCCUUUCUUUCUGGAAUAGUAAUACAAUUUUACCUACUCAUUAGCCAAUUGGUACAUAUAUAUACAUGAAAUCACAGUACUAUCCAUGUGUCUGUAAAAUGCUAUUUUCUUCAAGGAAAGUCUUUCUUUUCAGGGCUUCCUCUUUCCUCUAAGAAGCCACAUGUAAUACUAUGCCUCUCCCAAACUUCUUGAUUACUUAGAAAUCUAAAGCACAGCCUUAGGUUGUUGGAAUGGAAAAGACUGAGAUGACCAGGCAGGUCAAAAGUACUACCUUGGAAGUAGAAGUCUAUUUGUGAACUUGGAUUCAUCUUUGAUUCCACUGAGCACCUGGUAGGUGGGUAUUCACAUAUUUCUUGAAACAGAGCUAUAUCAUCUCGGCUCCCGUGUUUUGAUACCUGUUACCACAAAGAGUUAUUUUGCUGCUUUUUCUAGUAUGCACACUUUACCACUGUUCUGGGUGUCUUGUAAACAUCUCACAUGUGGUCCUAAUUUUUUUUUCCAGGCUCCACACAGUUCUUUUCAAGGAUCGAGUGGCCAAUAUUUUACCUAAUAUGGUUUGUGCUCUUUCGCAACUUUGAAUCUUCAAAUGCUCAAAUCUAAAAGAUGCUUGUGCUCUGUUAUUAUGCGCUACCAGAAAGAAAACAUUGUUUUAUCCAAUUUGAUUUUUAAUGUAAUUAAUAGUGAUUUAAU
This 1255-nucleotide long non-coding RNA is filed under the name Homo sapiens (human). Its description in RNAcentral is "HSALNT0106724". Lineage: Eukaryota; Metazoa; Chordata; Mammalia; Primates; Hominidae. The record is from RNAcentral.